CCUACGGGAGGCAGCAGUGAGGAAUAUUGGUCAAUGGGCGCGAGCCUGAACCAGCCAAGUAGCGUGAAGGAUGACUGCCCUACGGGUUGUAAACUUCUUUUAUUCGGGACGAAACAAAUGACGGUACCGAAUGAAUAAGCCACGGCUCACUACGUGCCAGCAGCCGCGGUAAUACGUAGGUGGCAAGCGUUAUCCGGAUUUACUGGGUGUAAAGGGCGUGUAGGCGGGAGAGCAAGUCAGACGUGAAAUUCCAGGGCUCAACCCGGGAACUGCGUUUGACACUGUUCUUAUUGAGUGAUGGAGAGGCAGGCGGAAGUCCGUGUGUAGCGGUGAAAUGCGUAGAGAUACGGAGGAAGACCAGUGGCGAAGGCGGCCUGCUGGACAUUAACUGACGCUGAGGUGCGAAAGCGUGGGGAGCAAACAGGAUUAGAUACCCGUGUAGUC
RNAcentral lists this ribosomal RNA (444 nucleotides) under uncultured bacterium. Its description in RNAcentral is "partial 16S ribosomal RNA". It matches the Rfam family "Bacterial small subunit ribosomal RNA", at positions 338 to 795 of the family's 1533-position model. The record is from RNAcentral.